RNAcentral lists this unclassified non-coding RNA (759 nucleotides) under Hevea brasiliensis (rubber tree). Lineage: Eukaryota; Viridiplantae; Streptophyta; Magnoliopsida; Malpighiales; Euphorbiaceae. The record is from RNAcentral.
CUGCUUGAAUUCAUCAUCUUCCAAUUUUAUGCUGAAAGGGGUUGUGAUACAAUCAGGACCAGUUUUCUCAAUAACAUCAACACCAAUAAUGGACAAUCUCAAAGGAAGAAAAUCAAAUGAUGAAAAGCCAUUUUAUUCCUUUGAAGUUCUGUAUGCAAUUAAAGAAAAGAACUUGAUUUGGGAUGACGAUACACCAUGAUUCUCGUCAGCUUGCAAAAUUGGGUAACAAUCGUUGCUCAUCUUCAGCACAGUUGAACUCAGUGUUGGAUCGUAGGUAGCCGGAUUAAACUGAAAUCCGCCCACAAAGACGCCAGUAGGCUCCAGGAUGAAAAAGGGAUUUCUCGAACACCCAGAUAUCACGGACAAGGACCUCCUUUGUUUUAUCUCCAGCAACAGUAAUGCCUUUUGAAUCAUAAGCUUCAAACUUCUGCUUUGUUAGAAGCUCAAGGGUUAGCUGUAUGAAAACUUUAUUGAGGUCUUUUCGAUCAACACCUAUCAGUCGAGCUCGCAAUGUUCGUAUCUUAACCACUGGUUCAAUCAUUUCCCAACAAACUUUAUUCCACAUGGACUCUCUUUGCUUAAUUUCAUUCUUGAGUUCAGAGUACAUUUUUUCUGUAACCAUUUUCCUCAAUGAAUUUUUGUCACCAUUUGCGAUUAGAGUGCUUAUCUCCUUGUACAAGUCAAUGGCCUCUUUGUAGAACUCAUGUUUCGAGUAUCCAGAUUUUCUUAACUUGGAAAUGGCAUAAGCACUUUUCAUCU